AACUUUGCACAGUGGCAGUAUCGUAGCCAAUGAGGUUUAUCCGAGGCGCAAUUAUUGCUAAUUGAGAUAGAACUUAUUUUAAAAGGCUAUAAAUUUAUCACUUCAUCUUUCUCCUCCAGGUUACCCAGCUGG
Molecule: small nuclear RNA, 132 nt
Organism: Ursus americanus (American black bear)
Lineage: Eukaryota; Metazoa; Chordata; Mammalia; Carnivora; Ursidae
Gene: U4
Rfam family: U4 spliceosomal RNA
About the family: U4 small nuclear RNA (U4 snRNA) is a component of the major U2-dependent spliceosome. The structure of U4 snRNA from yeast and human has been reported.
Source: Ensembl